This 380-nucleotide ribosomal RNA is filed under the name uncultured eukaryote. RNAcentral's name for it is "partial 18S ribosomal RNA". It matches the Rfam family "Eukaryotic small subunit ribosomal RNA", at positions 592 to 976 of the family's 1831-position model. The record is from RNAcentral.
CAAUAGCGUAUAUUAAAGUUGUUGCGGUUAAAAAGCUCGUAGUUGGAUUUCUGCUGAGAACGACCGGUCCGCCCUUUGGGUGUGUAUCUGGCUCUUUCUUGGCAUCUUCUUGGUGAACGUUGCUGCACUUGACUGUGUGGAGCGCUACCCAGGACUUUUACUUUGAGGAAAUUAGAGUGUUUCAAGCAGGCAUACGCCUUGAAUACAUUAGCAUGGAAUAAUAAGAUAGGACCUCGGUUCUAUUUUGUUGGUUUCUAGAACUUAGGUAAUGAUUAAUAGGGACAAUUGGGGGCAUUUGUAUUAACACGUCAGAGGUGGAAUUCUUGGAUUGUGUUACGACAAACUACUGCGAAAGCAUUUGCCAAGGAUGUUUUCAUUGA